Molecule: ribosomal RNA, 321 nt
Filed under: uncultured Pseudomonadota bacterium
Lineage: Bacteria; Pseudomonadati; Pseudomonadota
Description: bacterial SSU rRNA
Rfam family: Bacterial small subunit ribosomal RNA
Source: RNAcentral
AUUGAACGCUGGCGGCAUGCCUAACACAUGCAAGUCGAACGGUAACGCGGGGGCAACCCUGGCGACGAGUGGCGGACGGGUGAGUAAUACGUAGGAAUCUGCCCAUUUGUGGGGGAUAACCCGGCGAAAGCCGGGCUAAUACCGCAUACGCUCUACGGAGGAAAGCGGGGGAUCGCAAGACCUCGCGCUAAUGGAUGAGCCUACGUCGGAUUAGCUAGUUGGUAGGGUAACGGCCUACCAAGGCGACGAUCCGUAGCUGGUCUGAGAGGACGAUCAGCCACACUGGGACUGAGACACGGCCCAGACUCCUACGGGUGGCAG